RNAcentral lists this ribosomal RNA (41 nucleotides) under Euchilopsis linearis. RNAcentral describes it as "partial 26S ribosomal RNA". Lineage: Eukaryota; Viridiplantae; Streptophyta; Magnoliopsida; Fabales; Fabaceae. The record is from RNAcentral.
GAGACCUCAGGUCAGGUGGGGCUACCCGCUGAGUUUAAGCA